This 914-nucleotide ribosomal RNA is filed under the name uncultured archaeon. RNAcentral describes it as "bacterial SSU rRNA". It matches the Rfam family "Archaeal small subunit ribosomal RNA", at positions 1 to 922 of the family's 1478-position model. The record is from RNAcentral.
UUCCGGUUGAUCCUGCCGGAGGCGACCGCUGUGGGAGUCCGAUUAAGCCAUGCGAGUCGAGAGAAUAAGAUUCUCGGCAUACCGCUCAGUAACACGUGGAUAACCUGCCCUGUGCUGGGGGAUAACCUCGCGAAAGUGAGAACAAUACCCCAUGGGUCACUACGCCUGGAACGGUGAGUGGCCGAAAGCUCCGGCGGCACAGGAUGGGUCUGCGGCGUAUCAGGUUGUAGGGGGUGUAACGGACCUCCUAGCCUUCAACGCGUACGGGUUGUGAGAGCAAUUGCCCGGAGAUGGAUUCUGAGACACGAAUCCAGGCCCUACGGGGCGCAGCAGGCGCGAAAACUUGACAAUGCGAGAAAUCGUGAUCAGGGGACUCCAGUUGGCUGGAUCAAAAGUCCAGUCUGAACCGACUUUAAAUCGGUCGGGUAAUAGGGGCGGGAAAGACCGGUGCCAGCCGCCGCGGUAAUACCGGCGCCCCAAGUGGUCGUCACUAUUAUUGGGCCUAAAACGUCCGUAGCCGGUUUGGUAAAUCCGUGGGUAAAUCAGACAGCCCAACUGUCUGAAUUCUGCGGGGACUGCCAGACUUGAGACCGGGAGAGGUACGGGGUACCUCUGGGGUAGCGGUAAAAUGCGAUCAUCCCAGAGGGACCACCUGUUGCGAAGGCGCCGUACUAGAACGGAUCUGACGGUCAGGGACGAAGCCUAGGGGCACGAACCGGAUUAGAUACCCGGGUAGUCCUAGGUGUAAACGCUGUGGACUUGGUGUCGGGGACCUUCUGAGGGUUUCCGGUGCCGGAGUGAAGAUGUUAAGUCCACUGCCUGGGGAGUACGGUCGCAAGGCUGAAACUUAAAGGAAUUGGCGGGGGAGCACCGCAACGAGAGGAGCGUGCGGUUUAAUUGGAUUCAACGCCGGA